UACGUAGGGUGCGAGCGUUGUCCGGAAUUAUUGGGCGUAAAGAGCUUGUAGGCGGUUUGUCGCGUCUGCCGUGAAAAUUCGAGGCUCAACCUCGAACUUGCGGUGGGUGACGGGCAGACUAGAGUGUGGUAGGGGGAGACUGGAAUUCCUGGUGUAGCGGUGAAAUGCGCAGAUAUCAGGAGGAACACCGAUGGCGAAGGCAGGUCUCUGGGCCACUACUGACGCUGAGAAGCGAAAGCAUGGGGAGCGAACAGG
RNAcentral lists this ribosomal RNA (255 nucleotides) under uncultured bacterium. RNAcentral describes it as "partial 16S ribosomal RNA". It matches the Rfam family "Bacterial small subunit ribosomal RNA", at positions 524 to 776 of the family's 1533-position model. The record is from RNAcentral.